UAGAGUUUGUUCUGCACUUCCAAGAGCCACCUGGUCCCAGAUUCUGCACAAAAAGGUUAGAAGCCCAGCAAGAGACAUCAAAGGUAAACACUGUGUCUUACAAGGUGUUUGAAGAUGCCUUCUUUAAAGCCACUAGUUGCCAGUGACAUUUACUGCACUUUGUCUCUUUACUUCACUCUCGCAUAAUUUUGGCUUUGAUUACGCCUCUGCAGAAAGAGAAGUGAACUUUUGUUAGAGGCGUUAUAGACAAUUUACAGUACCAUAUUCGAAUAUAUUUUUGAGGCAGUUCAUCAAGCAACAAUUCAUUUAGCAGUCUGGAAAAAUUACAAGUAAUUGGAUCCUUAGUGUUGAUUAGUAGCUGACAUUCUGUCUAAAAUUAAUCCUCAGGAUGAUACAGGAGGUCUCAGCUGGGAAUUUAGCUGCUUGAAAUUUGAGUAUUAUUUGGACCUAAAUUAAAGUGUUUUCUCAAAAACUGAGAAACUAAUACAAUUACAUCUUCUUGUCAAGCCGAGAUGUUAGAAGUAAUUCAGGUGCUUUGACUGCAGGCCAAAUCAAAGCACUUUACAAAGGAAUCAUGCAGCAUUAGUUGCUGAACAUGCACAGUGUUCAGCAACUUAAAGGGCAAAUAUAUUCAUGAGGACAUGUAAUCUUAUGCAUGUUUGGCAAAUGAAUAUGAAGAAAGUAUCUGUUAGAGGGGGAUCAGAAUACUGAAAAAAAACCUGUGGCUCACAUUCAGAUGGGCAGCUUGGAUGUUAUUCCAAUGCCAGAUUUCUGCAAGGAAGUUUCAAGAAUUCUCAUGAAAACUAAAGGGUAUACUUCAGCCUUGAGAAUUCAAAUAGGUGCUGUUGCUGCCAUAUGGCAGAGCUGCUUUCAAAGCAAAUACAGGGUUUUUGCUCUUCUGAAAGACCAGAUGGCAAAGAGCUUGGUAUCUAGAAGCUGCCUCACCUAGGUCAUCAGUAGCAGUCAAUUGUAUGGGACAAAAAGUAAUUUUAAUCUGGUAGCUUUUCAGUAGUUUAUCUAAACCACAAAUAAUGUAUGCCUUUAUUUCCCAAAUAGACAAAAUUUUAUAGUAAGAUCCUCAUGAUAUAUUAUACUUGUUCUUGUGCGAUAUUGACAAGUCAUAAUUUGAUGCACCAGAAAUGUGAAUUAUCCCUUUAAGAAGUGAUCCUUUCAUCUUAAAGGACUUAUCAGUAACUUGUGUAUUGUGCAAACCUUCCUGAGAUGUAGGAAAACCCAGACUCUAGCACCGCUGACCGAACGCCUUCUGAAAGCAUUACAACUACUUAAAGCAGGUACUUUUUACAUUGUUAGAGCAGGUGAGAAAAAAUUGCAACAUAGGAUAUCACCCAAACCUGAUCAUAAAUGCUGUAUUUGUGGUUUGUCUCCUAAUGAAGGCUCCAGAACAAGCUCCCACAGAAAUUGCAUGACAAGAUGUGACCAGACCUCAGUGAAGUUGUUAAAGUGUGUCUACAUUUGUACUUUAGUUCAGAGCAGUAGUGGAGUAAGUUCCCCAGCUGUCCCCAUUUACUGUGUGUUGGUGUGCAUUACAGUGAGCUGUCAAUAUACAGAAUCUGAAUUUCUUUUGGAUGAAGAUCUGCUCCAGAUGUCCACCUAAAGAACACCAAGACCUCAUUGGGAAUAGAAGGCUCCAAACCAGCAGGUUAAUGCACUGCCAUGAAAUUUUAUGGCAUGUGUGGAAAGUGCAUGCACCAGUAAAGUGCUCUUCAACCAGGUUGAGUCAUCUUGUGAUAACCCUGAAUCCUCCUUGUGCUAUGUAAAGGCAUUUGCACCUUCAGAGUUCCUGUCAGCUACCAGACCUCAGCUCUGAGAAUGGGUCUUCUUUAUCCCUCUGAGGCAUCCCCUCUAGAUUUUCAUCAAUAUAAAAAAAAGAGGAGAAAUUAAAUCAAUAGCAGACACAGUCAUUCUAAAAAUCAUCAGUUCAAAAUUUCAAUUAUUUUUUCCUUCUUGAAACAAAGCAUGUUUUCUGGGGUUUCCUUUUCAGUUAUGGAUUAGGCUUUCCUGGUUUGGCCAUUUGACAUGAGAAAUAAUUAUGCAAGGACAAAAAAGAAAAACAUUGAACAUGGGAAACAAACAAUCUUAACCUUUUUCUCACUAAAACAAAAGCAUCUGAUCUAAUCUGCUUCUGACAAUCUUAGUUGCUGACUUUCCUUUUGUUUAAUUUAAUUUCUCUCAGUUCUUCACACAGCCACAUCUUACCUCUUGGAGAAGUUUCAGGACUUCCUGUCUCGUUGUCCUACUUGAAAACCACACAGAUAGUAAAUAAUUUUGUGCAAGAACUGGGGAUGGAGCAAUUUUUUAUCAGUUCUUAGCAGGCCUUUGUGAUUGCCAUGGUACAGCAGUCAUGUAAUUUCUGCUGAUUGAUCUCCAUUGGUAUCCGCAGGCAUCUGUUGAAACAUAGGAGGAUAAUCAGAAUUCAUGUUCAACAGCCCAUCAAGCAUGCUUUAAGCUCUCCUCAGACCCAACUGCCAAACAUGUUACUGAAAGAGUGCCAAAAUAAAGAUGUAUUUGGCAUAAGGAAAGAAAAUACUGCCCAGUUGUGUAAGUACCUCUUUCUGAAGGCUGCAGCAUGCCUUAGAAAAGACUAAUUGCAGAUGGAAUUUGCACAGGCACUGUUCAAGGUAUAAGCCAUGGCCCAUGCCAUCUAUUCAAUACACACCUCACACCAGCACAGCAAAUGAAAGACACAGUAUAUUGAGGGUGUAUUGAUGCAAGUCAAUUCCCUAAACCAUGAAGACAAUUGGAUAGGUGAAGAUAAGAGUAUUUUCCAAUUGCUGCCUGAGAUCCAUCCAUCACAGGAACAAAAUCCCACUUUAGCUACACCUGGAAACUUAAUAUAAAUAAAGAAGUGCCAGUAGGUAACCAGGAAGUUAGUAUGUAAGGUUUAAUAAUUCUACACUGUAUCCUGGCCUCAGUCUCAAUCAUCUAUCCAUAAAGAUAGACUGGUUAAAACUAGCAUGGCUAACCAGCACGCAUACACUUUAUUCUCCCUCAGAGCAGACCUCAGGCUGCCUUGACAAGUAACAGAUGGGAUUUUACCUUCACUUGGACAAAGUUUCAGCAAGGCAAAAAACUGAUUUAGAAGCACUUUAAUAUGCUGCUCCAGCACCAUGCCUGCACAAUCUAUAUAACCAGCCUCCUAUCUGACUGCACUCUCCAGAACGAGCAAAGACAUAAGCUCCUCAAAUUAUCACUGUGACAGGCCAGAUUUCCUAUUACUUACAGAUAUCUAUUUCACCUAAUUUUUCAAAGACAGAAGCAUACUCAGUAUAAACUAAAUAUAAUAGACAUGAAAUAGUGACUCUUCCCGUAUGCAGGGGACAUGUGUAAUGAAAACAGGGGUUUAGGAGGCCAGGCUCGUUCUCCUGUCAACAGGCACUGGCCUGAGCAAGCCACAAGAGGGAGCGCAAACGCUGUUUGAAAAUGCAGCAAAGGGGAGGCAGAAGAGCCAGCUCCAGGCUGCGUUUGAUGCCAAGUCUGUUGCUAAUAACCUGCAUUCUAAUUUGUACUGAAAAUCAAUUUAAUUUCCUCUCCAGCUUUAAUGCGUUACAAGUAAUUCUUCAAUACUAAUCUGGUAAGGAGAGCGAGAAAGAGAAAAACUCAUUCAUAAUGUUUGGCUUGCACUGGAUAAAUGAGAAGCCAAGCCAGGUCAGAGCAGCAGGCAAAGUGGCCUUGGGUGUCAGACAAGUGGGACAAGGCGGAACCGCUUGCCUGCAGCAAAAGAAAGGGAGAUCAGCUGUGCUCUUCUCUCUCCUGCUUUUCAUCCUGCUCUAGCUGCCACAGAGGGAGGGACUUGAGCAUGUGCAAGUAGCAGUCCAACUCAAAAGGGGCACCUACUGCCAACCUUUAACAGCAGCAGGAGCUGGCAUCCCCACCCUCUGGGACUGUUCCAGCCUCACCGCCCUCCUCCUCUUUUUUCCUUUGUGAUAGACAAAAAAAUAAGGCUCCUUAACUGCGGUGAAAUAGGCUGUCAAAAGAAAUAAAAUACCUGACAAGAGAUAUUUUAAACCUGGGAUGUUUAUAUGUGGGUCAAAUAUGAGAUUGUGAAAUCUUCUACCAUCAUAGUCAGAUUUUUCUCAUCUCUUACCUCUGAGUAUUAUUCAGUGAAAUUCCAUUCUGGAGCGGAAGGUUGUUGAUAUAAGCCAAGGAUAAAUGUAGUCAUAAAGGCUGUUCUUUCUGGAUGGCUUAGCACAAUAUAGUGCUCAAAUAUCCAUUUCACUUAGCUGUUGCAGUAUUCUAGCACGAAAUAGCAGCAGGAUACCACUAUUACGUAAAGGACAGGAGCACAAAGGAUAAUGCAUGUGAAUACUGAUCUGCUGACUGAUGUAAUCAUUGUGAUAAAAGAUAAUGUGUAAGUAGUUUAAGACUUGACUCUUGUAUAAAGUCAGAUACAUGGAGCAUAAAACUAGAUGCUUCUGGAAGCUGAAAAAGGAGGAAGGUCACAAGGCUGUGGAGCAGAUCUAAACUCACAUCACACAGUUCCUUGCCUCCAUAAGACCCAGGUCAGCAGCAAAUGGAUAGCAGCAGUCAGUGGAUACAGCUUCAGGAUUCAUGGCUGCCCCAUAACACAGGAUGAGAAGGGAUCCUUCCUCAGCAUGAAAGGGAUGUGGAAAUGCCUCACAACAGAGUCUGGGACCAGCAGCUGCUGGGCAGCAAGUUAACCAAGGUUCCUGCAUUUGCAGGUUACAAAUAACAUCCUAGCUAAAUCAUCAUAUGUAUUUUUCCAGUAAUGCAUGAAAUCAAGAAACAUCAUUAAGAGAAAUUAAUUGGCUCUGAGGCUGUCAUGGUACUCACCACACCUGCCACUUCCCUUUGAUGACAGGAUCAUGAAAGUUCUUACCAACUAGUUUAUUUAAAAUCUUCAUAAAUAAUGUGUCCUUUUGCCCUUUGCACUUUCUCCCUCUCUUUCUUAGUUUGCAUUUCUGUUACUUUAGGAACAGCUAAUGGUCCAAAUGUUAAUGCUAACCAUCUUCCUCUUCCAUUCCCUGUAACGGGAGAGAAAGGUCCCACGAGUCCUUGCUAAACUAGCCAGUUGUGACAUCCCUAGAAUAGAACAAAGACUGACUUGAAUUUUUUAAGAGAGAUUUAAAAAAAUCUGUAAAUAACCUGGUGAUAUUAAAAGCCUCACUGCUACAGUGCUUAAGUUCUGUGUCAGGGUGUGAAUUUUGCAUCAGUGCUGCAGCCACCCACAGAAAAUAGUUAAGCUUAAGACGAGCAAACAGGACUGCAGCAUGCUAACUUCACAUGGGUACAUUUACAAAGCUAGUGAAGCUUUACGGGCUAUAACAAGUUAUCAUAAAUGUUUCACAAGAUUUAUCGUUUUAGGCCACCAAGUUAUGUAAAGUAGCCAAGAUAACAAUUUUACAACAAUAUUUAGUGUUUAGUUUUCAUAUAUUACAUAAUUGUUAGUGUGCUAUGUAUUUUAAUAAUCGUUGCACAUCAAUCAUUAAAAAUCAUAUAUUGUUGUUAAUUACUCAAAUUUGACCUUCAUAAAUCUUGGGUAUUUUUAGUUUAUAGACACUAUACUCGUUCCUUGUUCUUUACAAAGGUCAGCUGGAAUCCUGAAAUGCUAUUAUUUUCUCAGGAGAUAAUGCCAUUUCAAUAAUUCAAGCAGUACCUAACAAGUAACGAUACCAAACCAUCUCCCUCUUGGUGGGGGAAAAAGUACUUCACCGAGAACACAUUGAUAUAAAUAAAGUACAUUUAAUCACUCACUGAAGACUCAUUAUACAGAAAUCAUUAAAAUACCAAACAUUUUGUUAAAAGGAUGGAAUAAUGACAUGGAAUGCUAAUGUACAUCUUUCUCCAUUUGUAAAUAUGAAUGUGCAUAGAUGUAGUGAUCACUGACUGAAAACGUAGUUCUUGAAAUUGCAAUGAACAUGCUUCAGUAAGAGCAGAUAUCUGA
Pezoporus flaviventris is the source of this 5923-nucleotide long non-coding RNA. RefSeq lists it as uncharacterized. The record is from RefSeq and is a predicted model, not a curated record. NCBI's taxonomy places the organism in Eukaryota, Metazoa, Chordata, Aves, Psittaciformes, Psittacidae. The transcript is spliced from 3 exons.